Molecule: ribosomal RNA, 523 nt
Filed under: Streptomyces sp. T56T
Lineage: Bacteria; Bacillati; Actinomycetota; Actinomycetes; Kitasatosporales; Streptomycetaceae
Description: bacterial SSU rRNA
Rfam family: Bacterial small subunit ribosomal RNA
Source: RNAcentral
UUUAACACAUGCAAUUCGAACGAUGAACCACUUCGGUGGGGAUUAGUGGCGAACGGGUGAGUAACACGUGGGCAAUCUGCCCUGCACUCUGGGACAAGCCCUGGAAACGGGGUCUAAUACCGGAUACAACCACUAGGGGCAUCUCUUGGUGGUGGAAAGCUCCGGCGGUGCAGGAUGAGCCCGCGGCCUAUCAGCUAGUUGGUGAGGUAAUGGCUCACCAAGGCGACGACGGGUAGCCGGCCUGAGAGGGCGACCGGCCACACUGGGACUGAGACACGGCCCAGACUCCUACGGGAGGCAGCAGUGGGGAAUAUUGCACAAUGGGCGAAAGCCUGAUGCAGCGACGCCGCGUGAGGGAUGACGGCCUUCGGGUUGUAAACCUCUUUCAGCAGGGAAGAAGCGAAAGUGACGGUACCUGCAGAAGAAGCGCCGGCUAACUACGUGCCAGCAGCCGCGGUAAUACGUAGGGCGCGAGCGUUGUCCGGAAUUAUUUGGGCGUAAAGAGCUCGUAGGCGGCUUGUCA